AUACGAAGGGUGCAAGCGUUAAUCGGAAUUACUGGGCGUAAAGCGCGCGUAGGUGGUUUUGUAAGUUGGAGGUGAAAGCCCCGGGCUCAACCUGGGAAUCGCCUCCAAAACUGCAUGACUAGAGUACGGUAGAGGGUAGUGGAAUUUCCUGUGUAGCGGUGAAAUGCGUAGAUAUAGGAAGGAACACCAGUGGCGAAGACGACUACCGGGACUGAUACUGACACUGAGGUGCGAAAGCGUGGGGAGCAAACAGGAUUAGAUCCCCUGGUAGUCCACGCCGUAAACGAUGUCAACUAGCCGUUGGGAUCCUUGAGAUCUUAGUGGCGCAGCUAACGCAUUAAGUUGACCGCCUGGGGAGUACGGCCGCAAGGUUAAAACUCAAAUGAAUUGACGGGG
RNAcentral lists this ribosomal RNA (396 nucleotides) under uncultured bacterium. RNAcentral's name for it is "partial 16S ribosomal RNA". It matches the Rfam family "Bacterial small subunit ribosomal RNA", at positions 523 to 918 of the family's 1533-position model. The record is from RNAcentral.